Molecule: long non-coding RNA, 1636 nt
Organism: Oncorhynchus tshawytscha (Chinook salmon)
Lineage: Eukaryota; Metazoa; Chordata; Actinopteri; Salmoniformes; Salmonidae
Exons: 2
Source: RefSeq, a predicted model, not a curated record
ACAGGUCUGAUAGGAAAUGCCAUCCGUGUUGUAAUGCCUUGUGUUAAGGUAAGAGUUGGGGAUGGAAAACCUCUAAGUUGAAUGAAAUAAAUAUUGCCUUGACUGUUUUUAGGGCAGACAGAUUCAAUACAAUACAUAGUGUUGUAUUUAAAUUCUGUGAUUUAGCAUUUUAUAACCAUCCUGUCUAGUACACAUCUCGAUCGUACUGGACCGUGAAGAAGAGGACGGAGGUCUCUGGAGGGGGGGCAGCUACACCUCCAAAUCCUCCGGACUUUCCAGACACCUCACAGCGUGACGCACCAGUGGAAACACACACACCUGUCCCACUAAUCCGACAGACAGGUGUCUACAAUUAGCAACUCCAUAAGGCUGAAGCCUUGACUACUGUAACAAAGCUAUUUGUAUUGUAUCUUUCGGAAAAUCUAUAUGUAGUGCAUAUCAACUGUAUAAAUCACUUAAAAUGGCAGGUGGUAGUGGUACAGUAGUAAAGUGUUGUUGUGACAAGGAAAGGGAUGGCGCAAAGGAGGAGUUGUGGUCAAUUGUUCUGCAGAAGUGAAAGUGAAAUACAUUUUUUUGUGUAUUUAGGAGGAAGUGAAGACUCAUAAAUAGAGCAACACAUACACAUAUGUGCCGAUUCAGGAGGGUGACAGGAAAGUGGGAUCAAGAUUAUGGUGACCUGAGCGGAGCCCAUACGGUAACUGUCUUUUCAGAAAUGGGACUUGUCUUUUUUUGUCUGUACUUUCACUUUGGAUGGCUGUCCUCAGUCAACCCUUUCUUGAUAUUUAUUUAUCUUCCUUAAACAAAUACUCCUCUCUGGUUCUCUCAUUUUGAUUUACACAAAGUAUUCCUUUUCCUGUUCACUUCUUCUAUUGACCAGAGACACCUGCUCCCCUUCGCACCUUAAGAGGAGAUGACUUCAAUCAAUAAACAUGAAACAGGUUUUUCAAGACUUCAAGAUAUGAAUGGAACAGGAUAGACUGUCUUUUUUCCACCCCAAGAAGGAGGCUAAAUUCAGAAUAGAAAGUGAACCUGAGUUUAAAUUACGUUAGUUUAAAUUGUGAAUGGGACACUCAGUAGUAGUGUUAGCGGGUAGGGUGGUAACGGAACCCAUAAAGCAGCUGUGUCUUUCAAAAGCAGCUGGAUGUGAGCUCCGUUUCCAUCCCGUUUCGCAACAUCCAACAGUCUGACCGUUUGUAGAGAGAAACAUACUUCCUGGUGUACUUGAGUCAGUGAGUGUCUUUUAGUGUGAUGUGGCUACAGUUGACUCUUCAAUAACUAAUAGGUGAUGUUCUUCAAUGACACGUUUUCUCCCGGAUUGACACAAACUGUAAGCCCCGGGAGUUUCCUGUCAGCAAAGAAUGACACCAGCUUCUAUAUAGGACAUGAGCAGCUUAAGCUAUUUAUUUUAGCUGAUUAAUGUAGUGUGUAAAUUGAUUUAUCGUCAGGCUAUUGUUUCUGAAUUGUUGCCCUGUUAUUUUGAAUUAAAAUAUAACUGGAUUUUAUUCACAGUAUCUAUUUGUUAUAUUGUCUGGGAACACUUAAGAUAAUUUACUAUACCAUGUCAUAUGUCCAUGGAUAUGUGUGUGCUGUCCAAUUGUCUAAUUCAGUUUACAUUAAAGAGCCAGUUUACAUUAGA